This is a long non-coding RNA of Pseudoliparis swirei, 494 nucleotides long. RefSeq lists it as uncharacterized. The record is from RefSeq and is a predicted model, not a curated record. The transcript is spliced from 3 exons. NCBI's taxonomy places the organism in Eukaryota, Metazoa, Chordata, Actinopteri, Perciformes, Liparidae.
GCUACGGUAGCAUAAGCGGUAGACCACGGAGCGACAGACCGUACAUACGAGGACACGAGGGCCUUAAUCCCGUGGCGGUGUAGUAAUAAAUCCCUCUUCACGGGGAAGAGGAACGCCUCCGUGACUGGAUUUGAGGUCUUCAUAAAGGAGAGAGGGCUUGGGAGCCUGGAUCCCAAGCUUGAGAAAAAGAGGUGGGAGAACCUCGUUCACAAAUAUAAGGUCAGCUUAAGCGUAGUGUCCAACAAAGCCUAGUCCAAUAAAGUAUCUUUCUUGAUCAUAACUUUGCCCCUGUAGAGUAACACACUUGCACAAUGUAGAGAUGGCAUGGCUAGUGAGUAUUUACAUGCAGUGUGCAUGUACAUGGAUGCAAUAUAUUAUGAUUAAGGUGAUUGUUGUUAAUCUUGUUCUUAUCUAUGUAUUGUGCUCAAAGUAAUGUAAAGUAAUCGUAUGGUCAGCCUUCAGUUCAAUAACUAAUUACCAGACCAGUUGAAGGC